AACGCUGGCGGCGUGCCUAAUACAUGCAAGUCGAGCGAACGGACGAGAAGCUUGCUUCUCUGAUGUUAGCGGCGGACGGGUGAGUAACACGUGGAUAACCUACCUAUAAGACUGGGAUAACUUCGGGAAACCGGAGCUAAUACCGGAUAAUAUUUUGAACCGCAUGGUUCAAAAGUGAAAGACGGUCUUGCUGUCACUUAUAGAUGGAUCCGCGCUGCAUUAGCUAGUUGGUAAGGUAACGGCUUACCAAGGCAACGAUGCAUAGCCGACCUGAGAGGGUGAUCGGCCACACUGGAACUGAGACACGGUCCAGACUCCUACGGGAGGCAGCAGUAGGGAAUCUUCCGCAAUGGGCGAAAGCCUGACGGAGCAACGCCGCGUGAGUGAUGAAGGUCUUCGGAUCGUAAAACUCUGUUAUUAGGGAAGAACAUAUGUGUAAGUAACUGUGCACAUCUUGACGGUACCUAAUCAGAAAGCCACGGCUAACUACGUGCCAGCAGCCGCGGUAAUACGUAGGUGGCAAGCGUUAUCCGGAAAUUAUUGGGCGUAAAGCGCGCGUAGGCGGUUUUUUAAGUCUGAUGUGAAAGCCCACGGCUCAACCGUGGAGGGUCAUUGGAAACUGGAAAACUUGAGUGCAGAAGAGGAAAGUGGAAUUCCAUGUGUAGCGGUGAAAUGCGCAGAGAUAUGGAGGAACACCAGUGGCGAAGGCGACUUUCUGGUCUGUAACUGACGCUGAUGUGCGAAAGCGUGGGGAUCAAACAGGAUUAGAUACCCUGGUAGUCCACGCCGUAAACGAUGAGUGCUAAGUGUUAGGGGGUUUCCGCCCCUUAGUGCUGCAGCUAACGCAUUAAGCACUCCGCCUGGGGAGUACGACCGCAAGGUUGAAACUCAAAGGAAUUGACGGGGACCCGCACAAGCGGUGGAGCAUGUGGUUUAAUUCGAAGCAACGCGAAGAACCUUACCAAAUCUUGACAUCCUUUGACAACUCUAGAGAUAGAGCCUUCCCCUUCGGGGGACAAAGUGACAGGUGGUGCAUGGUUGUCGUCAGCUCGUGUCGUGAGAUGUUGGGUUAAGUCCCGCAACGAGCGCAACCCUUAAGCUUAGUUGCCAUCAUUAAGUUGGGCACUCUAAGUUGACUGCCGGUGACAAACAGGAGGAAGGUGGGGAUGACGUCAAAUCAUCAUGCCCCUUAUGAUUUGGGCUACACACGUGCUACAAUGGACAAUACAAAGGGCAGCGAAACCGCGAGGUCAAGCAAAUCCCAUAAAGUUGUUCUCAGUUCGGAUUGUAGUCUGCAACUCGACUACAUGAAGCUGGAAUCGCUAGUAAUCGUAGAUCAGCAUGCUACGGUGAAUACGUUCCCGGGUCU
This 1369-nucleotide ribosomal RNA is filed under the name uncultured bacterium. RNAcentral's name for it is "16S ribosomal RNA". It matches the Rfam family "Bacterial small subunit ribosomal RNA", at positions 32 to 1381 of the family's 1533-position model. The record is from RNAcentral.